GGCGCGCAGGGCGCAUGCGCCGCAGCGCCAGCGCUCUCCCCGGAUCGUGCGGGGCCUGAGCCUCUCCGCCGGCGCAGGCUCUGCUCGCGCCAGCUCGCUCCCGCCGCCAUGCCCACCACCAUCGAGCGGGAGUUUGAGGAGUUGGAUACUCAGUGUCGCUGGCAGUCGCUGUACUUGGAAAUUCGAAAUGAGUCCCAUGACUAUCCUCAUGGAGUGGCCGAGUUUCCAGAAAACAGAAAUCGAAACAGAUACAAAGAUGUAAGCCCAUAUGAUGACAGCCGUGUUAAACUGCAGAAUGCUGAGAAUGAUUAUAUUAACGCCAGUUUAGUUGACAUAGAAGAGGCACAAAGGAGUUACAUCUUAACACAGGGUCCACUUCCUAACACAUGCUGCCAUUUCUGGCUUAUGGUUUGGCAGCAGCAGACCAAAGCAGUUGUCAUGCUGACCCGCAUUGUGGAGAAAGAAUCGGUUAAAUGUGCACAGUACUGGCCAACAGAUGACCAAGAGAUGCUGUUUAAAGAAACAGGAUUCAGUGUGAAGCUCUUGUCAGAAGAUGUGGAGUCGUAUUAUACAGUACAUCUACUACAAUUAGAAAAUAUCAAUAGUGGUGAAACCAGAACAAUAUCUCACUUUCAUUAUACUACCUGGCCAGAUUUUGGAGUCCCUGAAUCACCAGCUUCAUUUCUCAAUUUCUUGUUUAAAGUGAGAGAAUCUGGCUCCUUGAACCCUGACCAUGGGCCUGCGGUGAUCCACUGUAGUGCAGGCAUUGGGCGCUCUGGCACCUUCUCUCUGGUAGACACUUGUCUUGUUUUGAUGGAAAAAGGAGAUGAUAUUAACAUUAAACAAGUGUUACUGAACAUGAGAAAAUAUCGAAUGGGUCUUAUUCAGACCCCAGAUCAACUGAGAUUCUCAUACAUGGCUAUAAUAGAAGGAGCAAAAUGUAUAAAGGGAGAUUCUAGUAUACAGAAAUGAUGGAAAGAACUUUCUAAGGAAGACUUAUCUCCUGCCUUUGAUCAUUCACCAAACAAAAUAAUGACUGAAAAAUACAAUGGGAACAGAAUAGGUCUAGAAAAAGAAAAACUGACAGGUGACCGAUGUACAGGACUUUCCUCUAAAAUGCAAGAUACAAUGGAGGAGAACAGUGAGAGUGCUCUAUGGAAACGUAUUCGAGAGGACAGAAAGGCCACCACAGCUCA
This is an RNA transcript of Piliocolobus tephrosceles (Ugandan red Colobus), 1196 nucleotides long. It is a transcript of the gene named tyrosine-protein phosphatase non-receptor type 2 pseudogene, with no coding region annotated. Lineage: Eukaryota; Metazoa; Chordata; Mammalia; Primates; Cercopithecidae. The record is from RefSeq and is a predicted model, not a curated record. The transcript has a single exon.